This 453-nucleotide ribosomal RNA is filed under the name uncultured bacterium. RNAcentral's name for it is "partial 16S ribosomal RNA". It matches the Rfam family "Bacterial small subunit ribosomal RNA", at positions 29 to 507 of the family's 1533-position model. The record is from RNAcentral.
AUGAACGCUGACAGAAUGCUUAACACAUGCAAGUCUACUUGAACUUCGGUUUGGGUGGCGGACGGGUGAGUAACGCGUAAAGAACUUGCCUCACAGAUAGGGGCAACAUUUGGAAACGAAUGCUAAUACCUGAUAUUAUGAUUUUAGGGCAUCCUAGAAUUAUGAAAGCUAUAUGCACUGUGAGAGAGCUUUGCGUCCCAUUAGCUAGUUGGAGAGGUAACGGCUCACCAAGGCGAUGAUGGGUAGCCGGCCUGAGAGGGUGAUCGGCCACAAGGGGACUGAGACACGGCCCUUACUCCUACGGGAGGCAGCAGUGGGGAAUAUUGGACAAUGGACCAAGAGUCUGAUCCAGCAAUUCUGUGUGCACGAUGAAGUUUUUCGGAAUGUAAAGUGCUUUCAGUUGGGAAGAAAAAAAUGACGGUACCAACAGAAGAAGUGACGGCUAAAUACGUG